This 552-nucleotide ribosomal RNA is filed under the name uncultured bacterium. RNAcentral's name for it is "bacterial SSU rRNA". It matches the Rfam family "Bacterial small subunit ribosomal RNA", at positions 102 to 674 of the family's 1533-position model. The record is from RNAcentral.
ACGGGUGAGGAACACGUGGGGAUCUGCCCUUUAGUUCGGAACAACAUCGGGAAACUGAUGCUAAUACCGGAUACGCUAUAAGGUCUUGGCGACCAUAUAGGAAAGAUUUAUCGCUAAAGGAUGAACCCGCGUUAGAUUAGCUAGUUGGUGGGGUAAUGGCCUACCAAGGCGACGAUCUAUAGCUGGUCUGAGAGGACGAUCAGCCACACUGGAACUGAGACACGGUCCAGACUCCUACGGGAGGCAGCAGUGGGGAAUAUUGGACAAUGGGCGAAAGCCUGAUCCAGCCAUGCCGCGUGAGUGAUGAAGGCCUUCGGGUUGUAAAGCUCUUUUAGAUGGGAAGAUAAUGACGGUACCAUCAGAAUAAGCCCCGGCUAACUUCGUGCCAGCAGCCGCGGUAAUACGAAGGGGGCAAGCGUUGUUCGGAAUUACUGGGCGUAAAGGGUGCGUAGGCGGCCCGCCAAGUCAGAUGUGAAAGCCCAGGGCUCAACCCUGGAACUGCAUUUGAAACUGGUGGGCUAGAGUAUUGGAGAGGUAAGUGGAAUUCCCAGU